RNAcentral lists this unclassified non-coding RNA (375 nucleotides) under soil metagenome. Its description in RNAcentral is "partial contains 5.8S ribosomal RNA, internal transcribed spacer 2, and large subunit ribosomal RNA". The stretch from base 1 to 120 matches the Rfam family "5.8S ribosomal RNA", at positions 35 to 154 of the family's 154-position model. The record is from RNAcentral.
GAUGAAGAACGUAGCGAAAUGCGAUAAGUAAUGUGAAUUGCAGAAUUCAGUGAAUCAUCGAAUCUUUGAACGCACAUUGCGCCCGCCAGUAUUCUGGCGGGCAUGCCUGUUCGAGCGUCAUUUCAACCCUCAAGACCCCUUCGGGGGACUUGGUGUUGGGGACCGGCACAGGGGCCUGCCUGCUUGUCUUGCAGCGCCCUCGCCGCCCCCGAAAUGAAUUGGCGGCCUCGUCGCGGCCUCCCCUGCGUAGUAGCACAAACCUCGCAACGGGAACGUGACGGCGGCCACUGCCGUAAAACAACCCAAUUUUAUUAGAGUUGACCUCGAAUCAGGUAGGAAUACCCGCUGAACUUAAGCACAUCAAUAAGCGGAGGA